UAUUAGGUUGGUGUAAAAGUAAUUGUGGUUUUUGCCAUUGAAAGUAAUGGCAAAAACACAAUUACUUUUGCACCAACCUGAUA
MicroRNA precursor from Pan troglodytes (chimpanzee), 83 nucleotides. It matches the Rfam family "mir-548 microRNA precursor family". The record is from Rfam. Lineage: Eukaryota; Metazoa; Chordata; Mammalia; Primates; Hominidae.